GGAGCCGUAGUGCAGGGGUUUAACACGCUGGCCUGUCAAGCCAGAGAUCGCGGGUUCAAUUCCCGUCGGCUCCGCCA
RNAcentral lists this transfer RNA (77 nucleotides) under Clostridia bacterium. Its description in RNAcentral is "tRNA-Asp". It matches the Rfam family "tRNA". From Rfam's summary of the family: Transfer RNA (tRNA) molecules are approximately 80 nucleotides in length. Their secondary structure includes four short double-helical elements and three loops (D, anti-codon, and T loops). The record is from RNAcentral. Lineage: Bacteria; Bacillati; Bacillota; Clostridia.